Molecule: non-coding RNA, 136 nt
Organism: Tinamus guttatus (white-throated tinamou)
Lineage: Eukaryota; Metazoa; Chordata; Aves; Tinamiformes; Tinamidae
Source: RefSeq, a predicted model, not a curated record
GAGAACAACAGUGAGCUCCCCCCAGUGAAAAUAUUAUAUCCUUGGCAGUAGAGGACCUUGCCUGGAGGUUAAUAUGAAUCAAUCAUAAGGGGCUUUUGUGUGUGUGCAUGUACGUGUGCGUAUGUGUUUGUGUGUG